This 23-nucleotide non-coding RNA is filed under the name Arabidopsis thaliana (thale cress). The record is from RNAcentral. Lineage: Eukaryota; Viridiplantae; Streptophyta; Magnoliopsida; Brassicales; Brassicaceae.
CUUCAAGACUGGACACACUAGGC